This 429-nucleotide ribosomal RNA is filed under the name uncultured bacterium. Its description in RNAcentral is "bacterial SSU rRNA". It matches the Rfam family "Bacterial small subunit ribosomal RNA", at positions 355 to 776 of the family's 1533-position model. The record is from RNAcentral.
UUAGGAAUAUUCGUCAAUGGGGGAAACCCUGAACGAGCAAUGCCGCGUGAGUGAAGAAGGUCCUCUGGAUUGUAAAACUCUGUUGUUUGGAAAGAACGACCUGUAGAGGAAAUGCUACAGGAGUGACGGUACCAUUCAAGAAAGCCACGGCUAACUACGUGCCAGCAGCCGCGGUAAUACGUAGGUGGCGAGCGUUAUCCGGAUUUAUUGGGCGUAAAGCGUCCGCAGCCGGCUUGUUAAGUCUAGAAUAAAAGCCUGGAGCUCAACUCCAGUUCGUUCUAGAAACUGAUAGGCUUGAGUGUGGUAGAGGCAAGUGGAAUUUCUAGUGUAGCGGUAGAAUGCGUAGAUAUUAGAAGGAACACCAGUGGCGAAGGCGACUUGCUGGGCCAUUACUGACGGUCAGGGACGAAAGCGUGGGGAGCGAAUAGG